AAUAUAUCGGAACGUGCCCAGUCGUGGGGGAUAACGUAGAGAAAUUUACGCUAAUACCGCAUACGAUCUAAGGAUGAAAGCGGGGGACCGUAAGGCCUCGCGCGAUUGGAGCGGCUGAUAUCAGAUUAGGUUGUUGGUGAGGUAAAAGCUCACCAAGCCGACGAUCUGUAGCUGGUUUGAGAGAACGACCAGCCACACUGGGACUGAGACACGGCCCAGACUCCUACGGGAGGCAGCAGUGGGGAAUAUUGGACAAUGGGCGAAAGCCUGAUCCAGCCAUGCCGCGUGUGUGAAGAAGGUCUUCGGAUUGUAAAGCACUUUAAGUUGGGAGGAAGGGUACUUACCUAAUACGUGAGUAUCUUGACGUUACCGACAGAAUAAGCACCGGCUAACUCUGUGCCAGCAGCCGCGGUAAUACAGAGGGUGCAAGCGUUAAUCGGAAUUACUGGGCGUAAAGCGUGCGCAGGCGGUUAUGCAAGACAGAUGUGAAAUCCCCGGGCUCAACCUGGGAACUGCAUUUGUGACUGCAUAGCUAGAGUACGGUAGAGGGGGAUGGAAUUCCGCGUGUAGCAGUGAAAUGCGUAGAUAUGCGGAGG
Molecule: ribosomal RNA, 596 nt
Filed under: uncultured bacterium
Lineage: Bacteria
Description: bacterial SSU rRNA
Rfam family: Bacterial small subunit ribosomal RNA
Source: RNAcentral